UAUCAAUUUCCUUGUCGGCCGACGUUCGGGUGGAGGUGGAGAAAACUCCCUGGGGUAUGACAUUUUACGACUCCAAGACCAAUCAGACCAUCGCUGAGGAGGCACGGACCGAGUACCUCAAAACGGGAUUUGGAAAAUGGAAAGGACGAUAUUUACAUAUAUACGAGGGCUACCUGCUCAGGGUCGGCGAAAUGGUGGAAUGGUAUGACGUCACCAACCUCAUUAGUUACAAACUAGGCUCGACAGACAUCAUUUUCUAUAUUGGAACAACAGACAAGGAACGCAAUCGAACACUAUCGGUACAUCUUUAUGACGUCAGAGAUCGACAAUUUUCGUUUACUUUUCUCGUGAACGAUACAACAAAUUGUAACAGAAUCUCAUGGCCUUUGUUUAUUCGGGAUGAAAACGAGGGAUUCUAC
Long non-coding RNA from Ostrea edulis (European flat oyster), 419 nucleotides. RefSeq lists it as uncharacterized. The record is from RefSeq and is a predicted model, not a curated record. NCBI's taxonomy places the organism in Eukaryota, Metazoa, Mollusca, Bivalvia, Ostreida, Ostreidae. The transcript has 3 exons.